GUCCUAGAAGAGGUGUGUUUAGUUAGCAGUGAGGGGGAGUCCCCUAAGGGAGCUCCCUCCUGGCACUUACCGUCGUGGGGGCUGAGCUGGGCUGUGGCAAACUCCUCCCCUUGCUGGGGAACCACCAAGACAGAGAGAAUCAAGCUGGAAAGGACCCAAGGAGUCGACCCCUCCUGCCUUUCAGCAGGACCGCUUCAAAGCCAUUCCGGCUGUCUCCCGUUUCCUUAAGGUGUCCGGAGAGCCGACUCCUCGACUUCGGUUGCGGUAACGAGCAGCAGGCCCCAGAGCCACUCUGGUAGCCGGCAGUCCCUUUCCUGUCACACCCUUCCCCCCCGCACAACCUGGGGGCUCCGGUAGCGCUCCGGCUGCCGAGGACGCUUGUCCAGCUGUGAGUGUGUGACCUUAAGGGUUGCCUCGAGUUGGCCCCUCAUCACUACUCGGUUUCCCGUAGCGUCUAUCAAAAACGGGACCUCUGGCUGAGAGGGUCAUCUGUACUCACCACUUGGUCGGCAGUGAAGUCAAUGUAGCCGGGAAGAAUAAGGAAGUCACUGUGGGAGGGGGGGAGAAGGUCAACACUCGGUAAUAAAGGGGUGAUGAUGGAGCUUCUGUCCCAAACACCGGAUGAGUCCCCGUCCAGCACCAAAGGCUCCAGGAUCGGGAACGUGUGUGAAACCAAACCUCCCCCAUGGGCAGAGCACUGGACUACAGGCAUUCAAAUGUUGGUGAUUGAACGGUAAGAAGAGAGAAGUUUGAGAAGCAGGAAUUGCAUCUCCCAGGAGCAGUUGCCAAAGAUAAGCUCAGAUGGAGUUAGCGAUUCCUCUCUCGGGAAGCAGAUCUAACACAGCUCCAACUGGGAUACUGCGAGUAUCCCACGCUACGGAAGCGUCAGCCCCAGGACCUGCCGUGGCAGGUUAUGGCAGGAUUUCCAGAGCCUUCUCUACCCCCGCCUAAGUUUCCCCGAUGAAAAUCUGAAAAAGGAAAAAGACAGUAGCCAAAUGCGUACGGGGCACAGUAGACACUCGAUCCCCUCCUGGCGCCCAACCCCCAGACAACAUGCUUUCCGGAUUCAUUUGCAAUCCAACCAGAUGGGCAUCUGUAAACAGUAUCAUCUGCUGUUACGUUUUUGGAUUAGCCGGUUCAGGCUCCAUAGCCCCGAAUUUGUGGCCACACGAUGCCUCCCGGAGUUCCCGCGAUUGGCAGCUGCUGCCCGGACAUCUGGGCAGAUCUCUGCUUCACCUUUCACCCACUGCCAACCUCCUAGGGUUCUCAGGGAUUGCCGUGAAGCUCCCCAGGCCGCCAGCAGCAGCAGCAGGGUGGACUUGGGGAUGGGACGUGGCUGCCUGCACUUAAUCUGUGCUCUUCCUGCAAGUGUUGGUUCGAUGCUGAGGGUCAAAAAGAGCAGUCCAUUGGAACGUUUCUUGGCCGGGGGUAGGGGGUGGUGGAGAAAAAACAACAACUCUUGAUCAAGACAGAUCUAGCCGGUUCCUCGAGAAUCAGGAGGAAACUCCCUACUCUUUCCCCAUAAGCCAAUUAAAAAACAAAACGCACACGCACAAAAUCCACUAAAAUCUAGAAAAGCCAUCUUAGGGUCGCAAAAAGGGAAGGCUGCAGCUGCUGAACUGUUAACAUCACACCCAUUUUAUCAAGGCAUAGAAAAGAGGAAAGGAUGAAGAAUUCAACAGCGACUCAGCCAGUUUGGCUAGCAGAAAGAAGUUAUCAAGCUACCUUUAUCACCUUUCACUGGGUAUCAGUAAAGUUAUCCACACGUCCUAGAAACUGGGCAGGAAUAGGAGGGAAAGAAGGCAAUUCCCCGUCCACCCUCCAGUCAGCUCAGGAUAGCUAAAACACCCCCGCCCCCAGUUUCCCAUUCUCGCUUUCCUCCCCAAAUAAAGACGCAUCGUUCAAUGGCAUGUUGAAAAGACGUGCUCGUCAUUCUUAAUAAACAACUAGAGUAAGAAUACAUAAGAGAAACAAGGUGGUAUCUUUAUAUGAUACACAAGUGUAUGUUACAAGAAUCCCAUCAGGCACAGGAGCCUCAAGUUUAAGGCCUCAAUGUUAGGCCAAAAAAAAAAAAA
Ornithorhynchus anatinus (platypus) is the source of this 2075-nucleotide long non-coding RNA. RefSeq lists it as uncharacterized. NCBI's taxonomy places the organism in Eukaryota, Metazoa, Chordata, Mammalia, Monotremata, Ornithorhynchidae. The record is from RefSeq and is a predicted model, not a curated record. The transcript has 3 exons.